CAUCACAAAUAUUUGGCCUAGAAAAAUGCCAUUAUAUACUGCUUAGUUACAAGUUAUUAAUAUAAAUAAGUAUUAAAGUAGACAUUAAAUUCAAGGAAGGUUGUUUUUUUUUUUAAAAUCGGCUUUUUUCUUGUGUUGUCAGUUAAAUUUAUCUAUUAUUUUAUAUAGUUUUAUAAAACAAUUCCACAAAUAAAGAAUACUUGUUUUUAGUUUUCCUAUUUGCACUUUAGAAGAUUAGAUACCAUGCUGGCAUCUAAAAAGCUUUCCUUAAAGUUUAUAUUAUUUAAUGGAAUCUGAUGAAGAAGUUGGGGCUUACUUCAAGUACUAAGUAAACUGGAUAAGGCUUUUAUACUUGUUGAGGGGGAAAGACAAACUUUUCCGGUUGUUUAUCAGAUUUGUGUGUUGUCUCCCUUUGUAAACAGGUACCUUUUAAAAUCUUUUUUGCUAUUUUUUGCUAAUGUUUUGUAAGAAUGGUCACAGAAAGGAAUAUUGGUCGGGCUCUACCAAAAAACAAGAAAAAAAGAAUUCUUAUAGUAAAUACCAAUUCUGUGAUUAUACAAUUAAUGCCUUUUUCUUUAUUUUAAAAACAGCCACUUAGAUUCUAAUAGAUUUUAGUGAAGUAUUUUAAUAUCAAAACAUCAGAACAGUCUCAUUUCAUUCAGCUGGUUGCUGAAUGUUAAUUUACAUGGGGUGUAGGGGCAGACAGUCAAGUGGAUUCUCUUCAGGUUAAGUUAAAUAAGCAUUCGAUGUGGAAAGACCUAGUGGCUAGAAUAGAAUUACAUUAGGCUACGAGUUAAAUUACCGUGCUUUUGCUUCCUUCAUUAAGAUAAGUAGUAGAGUAUUUCUACUUUUCUUCAUGCCUCUCUUGUAUUUGAAAAAGAAUAAUUUUCUUAAGGUUUUUAGCAUGAUGGAAGCAAAUUACAUUUUUAUUUUAACUUUUCACCAACAUUUGUAGAUAUUUAACUGUGCUGAGUUGUAUAUUUUAAAGGCAAGAAAAAGCCUUCAGAUUUUUAUUUGUCAGAGCAUAUUUGUUGAAACAUGAUUUUGUUUAUGCUUGCAGUGGGGAAAAUUUAACAUUGAAUAAGUGCCUGGUUUAUGCUAAAUGUUUGUUUUAUGUACGUAGUAAUUUAAAAUGGUCUCGGGAUUUUCUUCAAAGUUUAAACGAAGAUAGUGGUAUUAAAAGCUAAAGGAGCGGUGUUUAGGUAAUAUGUCUUAGUAGUUUUGUCGCAAGGAAAUAUUUUGAGAUUAAAACUUUGAAGUGCUAGUGCUUGUUUUUGACCAAGUGGUAAACAUCACUAAAUUAAAACUGAGUAGCAUGAUCUGAAUUACUGUUUAAUGUCUUUUGAAAAUGACAUUUCUAAAUAUUCAUGGCUUAUUAAUCAAAUGCUGUUUAUAAUUCAUUUGUUUCUCGAUGUUUAUUCCAAGAGCUGUCAUUUGAGAAAUGUAAAAUGCUAUACAGAAUGCUUAAAAUAAGAGAAUUCUGAACAUUAGGGGUGGUUUCCAGCAGAUACCUCUUGGAUGUUGGACUUGAAUUGCUAUAAUUUUGAUGAAAUGAUGCUCACAAUAGAAUGCAGUGAAUCCUGCUGUUAAUGCACAGUUGCCUUCUAAAAACCAGAAUGCUCGGCAAAAUUGUACAAUAAAGAGGCCUUAGGAUAUAUGGGGAAAACUGGGUUAGAGGCUCAGCAACCCAAAACUUCAACAGUGACAUACCCAAGAAUAAAGAUAAGAAUCUAAUAAGAGCAGCACAGUUUGACACAUGUUAAAUGGUUAAUAAAUAUGGCACUUUACCUUGGAAAAGACCUGAAGUGUGCCUGUAGAAGUGGGCAUAGGAAGGGUUGCAGCUCAUGAAUUAAGGUGAAGCUGUGGAAGGAGAGUCAGCUGGAAUCAGAGGGUGAGUUCUAAUCCCAGGACUGGGUAAGUGUGACUCAGUACUUGCAGUGAACGGAGGCUGCUCACUCGUGUUCUGUGUGUUCCGAUGCUGGGUGUGGUUUUCCACAUUUCACCUAGCGUUGCUCCUGGAUGAGACCAUGCGUAAGCAAAUUGUGAAAUUUGCGUUCUGCUCAUAUUCCUUGUAGUUCUGCUCAUAUUCAUUAUUAAUUUCCUGGAACAAGUUUGUGUUUUCCAAACAAAUGUGAUAUCAAUAUUGACUUUAAAAGACACUUUGUGGUGGAGAAUGAGUGGCUAUUUACCAUUUAUUUCUACCCAGAAAAAUACUCUUUGUACUUCUAAAUGAAUAAGAAUUGUGGACAACCUCUAAGGUACAAAACUCUUUCUUCCCCCUUACCAGAUCAGAAAUGAUCCCCACUGAACAUGUAAACACAUUUAGAUUCAAAUAAUUAUUUUAUGUGUUUUGCUUAAAAUGCUUAAAAUCUGUGGGAAAUUAAAUGCCCUGUAAACCCGGUAAGAAAACACAAAACACAUAAAGCCUGUGAGAAAUUAUAUGCCCUACAAUCCUGCCUCUCCCAAAAAAACAGGGAAAGAAAAGAA
Molecule: long non-coding RNA, 2487 nt
Filed under: Homo sapiens (human)
Lineage: Eukaryota; Metazoa; Chordata; Mammalia; Primates; Hominidae
Description: HSALNT0356701
Source: RNAcentral